UUUCUGUGAUGAAAAUCUUUGUCAGUUCUGCUACUGAAUGGAAGUGGUGACAUCAAUGGCUCUGAGAAA
This is a small nucleolar RNA of Nematolebias whitei (Rio pearlfish), 69 nucleotides long. The record is from RefSeq and is a predicted model, not a curated record. Lineage: Eukaryota; Metazoa; Chordata; Actinopteri; Cyprinodontiformes; Rivulidae.